CCUACGGGUGGCAGCAGUGAGGAAUAUUGGUCAAUGGACGGAAGUCUGAACCAGCCAUGCCGCGUGCAGGAUGACGGCUCUAUGAGUUGUAAACUGCUUUUGUACGAGAAUAAUAGUUCUUACGUGUAGGGCUUUGCAUGUAUCGUACGAAUAAGGAUCGGCUAACUCCGUGCCAGCAGCCGCGGUAAUACGGAGGAUUCGAGCGUUAUCGGGAUGUAGUGGGGUUAAAGGGUGCGUAGGCUGUCGGAUAAGUUAGAGGUCAAAUGUCGGGGCUUAACCCCGGGACUGCCUCUGAUACUGUUAGACUAGAGAGCGGAUGCAGCAGGCGGAAUGAGUAGUGUAGCGGUGAAAGGCUUAGAUAUUACUUAGAACACCGAUUGCGCAGGCAGGUUGCUA
Molecule: ribosomal RNA, 396 nt
Filed under: uncultured bacterium
Lineage: Bacteria
Description: partial 16S ribosomal RNA
Rfam family: Bacterial small subunit ribosomal RNA
Source: RNAcentral